GACGAACGCUGGCGGCGUGCUUAACACAUGCAAGUCGAACGGAAAGGUCUGCUCUUGCGGGGUGCUCGAGUGGCGAACGGGUGAGUAACACGUGAGCAACCUGCCCUUGACGUUGGGAUCACUUCAGGAAACUGGGGCUAAUACCGGAUAGGAGCUCCUGCUGCAUGGUGGGGGUUGGAAAGUUUCGGCGGUUGGGGAUGGACUCGCGGCUUAUCAACUUGUUGGUGGGGUAGUGGCUUACCAAGGCGUUCACGGGUAGCCGGCCUGAGAGGGUGACCGGCAACAGUGGGACUGUGCUACGGCCCGGACUCGUGCGGAAGGCAGCAGUGGGGAUGAGUGCACGAUGGGCGGAAGCCUGGUGCAGCAAGGCCGCGUGCGGGAUGGUAAACUUCGGGUUGUAAACCACUUUCGCAUGUAACGGAGAGUAGGUGACGGUAAUGUAUGAAUAAGCACCGGCUAACUACGUG
This 467-nucleotide ribosomal RNA is filed under the name uncultured bacterium. RNAcentral's name for it is "partial 16S ribosomal RNA". It matches the Rfam family "Bacterial small subunit ribosomal RNA", at positions 28 to 507 of the family's 1533-position model. The record is from RNAcentral.